GCUGGCUUGCGUUCGCUUCCUUGCUUCACAGGAAGCAUAUCUGAUAUACAAAUCGAGAUUUAUGUUCCGUGGCAUCGCACGGGCACCUACCUAGUAGUAUUUAUGCUGGGACAAAGGGAGUACUUUGGAAAUUGGAAGCAUGUGGGAGUUUCCAAAUUAGGCUGAUCACUCAGAGUAUCUCCAAGAAUGUGUCCUAUAAGGGUAUACUAGGAGGAGAUUUAAACCCCUCCAAUCUCCUUCUAGAUUGGUGUAACCGAACAAGCCUUAAUAGAGCCAGAUACUACUUCUUUGAAGAGUUCGGGGCACUAAAACAUAUUAUCCUCCAAUGAACCCUAUAAUCGGAAUUAGUUUCAUUUUCCUAUCGCACAUACUUUUGGUGCCUAGCUAUUUCGCCGCCGCACCUGUGUUCCAGAAGUUGCGGCCAAUCGAUCUGAUCCAGAGCAGGGGAGCAGCCUGGCAUCACCUCGUCGGUGGAGCAUCGAUCCAAAACCUGCAAGUAUGUUAGAGGCCGUUGGAGCACCUGUUCCUCUCUGGACAUGAGGACGGACGGACCAUCGGGUAGAGGCGUAGAGCAGAGCAAUGGAGAUCCUGGGGGCGACGAUUGGUGAAGGCAGAGGCGGACCCACGUUGGGCACAGCUCCCACUCAAUUUUCUAGUUUUAGUGGAGUUUUUAUCUUAUUCACUGUAGCUAUGAAGAUUUAUUAGUAAGGCUAUGUUCGGUAGUCGUGGUUAUAAUCAACAAGUGGAAUUAAUCCAGACGUGGAUUGAGUGGAUCCCCUGCCGUCACUUUUUCCCUGUGUGGUUUAA
Long non-coding RNA from Zea mays, 807 nucleotides. RefSeq lists it as uncharacterized. The transcript has 2 exons. The record is from RefSeq and is a predicted model, not a curated record. Lineage: Eukaryota; Viridiplantae; Streptophyta; Magnoliopsida; Poales; Poaceae.